UACGGAGGAUGCAAGCGUUAUCCGGAAUGAUUGGGCGUAAAGCGUCCGCAGGUGGCUGUGUAAGUCUGCUGUUAAAGAGUCUAGCUCAACUAGAUAAAGGCAGUGGAAACUACACGGCUAGAGUGCGUUCGGGGCAGAGGGAAUUCCUGGUGUAGCGGUGAAAUGCGUAGAGAUCAGGAAGAACACCGGUGGCGAAGGCGCUCUGCUAGGCCGCAACUGACACUGAGGGACGAAGGCCAGGGGAGCAAACGGG
Molecule: ribosomal RNA, 253 nt
Filed under: uncultured bacterium
Lineage: Bacteria
Description: partial 16S ribosomal RNA
Rfam family: Bacterial small subunit ribosomal RNA
Source: RNAcentral